AAUUCAUUUCUAAUAAUUUUCGUCAAAACAUUUUUUUGGUUCUUCAAAAGCACACUUUGAUUAUGAUUUGUUUUUGUCCUUGAAAUGUAUCUAAACUGUAUUUCCAUGAAUACAUUAACUUUCCAAAUAAUAAUAAAAAAGUGGUUCGGCGUAAACAAACCAUUCACUAGUUUAAAACACUCCUAUCGAAGAGUGUCGUUUAAUCACGUAAAAAUGAAGAAUCAUACAAAAAAUGAAACAUCUUCACGAACAAUUUUACUUUUACUUUCAAUGAUCGGCUUUCUUAUGUUUUCACUGACACUAUGUGCCAAUUAUCUCCAAGAAAAAUCAAUUAAUUCAAAGAAUUUAUACUCAAUUUUCAUUGAUUAUAAUGCAUUUUUAUAUUACACAAUUUAUCUCGUUUUUAUGGCUUUGACUUUCACUGAAAAAUACGACAAGUUUUCCGGGACAAAAUCUCUAAUAAUGUCUCUCAUUGUGUUUUUUGCACUUGAAAUUUGCAAUUUCCAUGCUGUUGAUUACCUCCUUGAACAUCUAGUUCACAUGGCUUUUGCUGGUUUAGUCCUUGGAAAUUGUCUCGGAUUGUUUUGUUACGUUCGAAGUUUAAAUCUACCUGAAGAUAAAAUCAAUCCUAAAGUAAUCGGUCAAGAUAUGAUUUAUUCCUAUUUGAUUGGAAGAGAAAUAAGGCCAAGAUUUUUCGGAUACAUUGAUCUGAAAAUGUUCGUUAAUAGAGUUGGCGUAGCCUCGGCGGUUUUGUUAAACUGUGCACUUUUGUAUCAAGAGUUUACCAAAAGUUCGACGUUGAAUAAAAGUUUCGCUUUGAUUGAAAUAAUGCAUCUGAUUUAUUGUGCGGACGCAGUGGUUACAGAAUACACAUUUGAGUAUUCCCUAGAAGUCCAAAAAGAAGGUUUUGGUUACAUAUGUUCAGUUGGAUAUUUCAUAUAUCCCUUUUUGAUGAACAUUUUUCCUUAUCACAUAUUAGUUUCAAGAACUGAACUUCCAACGUGGAAACUAGUUGUGAUAACACUGUCAUUUAUGGUUGGUUACCUGCUUUACAGAGGUAGCAACAACCAGAAAUACGACUUCAAAGUGAAUCCCUCAACACCUGGUGUGAAAUUUAUCGACACUCAUUCCGAAAAUAGAAAAUUGCUCUGCUCAGGAUUUUGGGGCUUCGUUCGACAUCCGAAUUAUCUGGGAGAUAUAUUAAUGCAAUUAGCCUUCGCAGGAUUGACAAUGUGUAUUCCUGCGAUAAUGCCUUUGACGGACAUAUUUUUCUUGAUUCAUCGUUCUGUUAGAGACAAUGAACUCUGUAAGGAAAAAUACGGAAAUUCGUGGGAUAAAUAUUGCGAAAAAGUUAAAUAUGUCAUCAUUCCUGGAAUUUAUUAAUCAAGUGCUAUCUGCUAGCAACAGAUGGAUUUUUUACAAGAAUCUAAAAUAAACUUUGAAAUACAAAAUAUAUAAUUUAUUUUUUAUAGUUUCAAUUUACAAUGAACUAUUUUUUCUUCUUUUCUUUUUGCAAUUCAAAUAGUUAAAUAAAUCUUACUGGCAUUAAUUUUCUAAAUUACUACAAUAAUAAGGAAGUUUCCACUUUUUUGAAAUUAAUACCAUUAAUAGUCUUCAUAAUUGUAAAACUAAUGGUACUUUUCAUUUUUUUAUAUUUGCAAAAAUAAAAAAGUUAUGAGACCUCAAAGUUUGAAUUUUGACAUAAAAGAUAGAAGACUUCUAUUCUAUUUUAUACAGCGUGCUCAAAAACUGACGCACCAACUCAAUGGUGUGUGGUAGAGAACUGGUUACAUAUAAAGGUAAAAAUAGUAAAAAAAUUCUUUGUAUUAAAGUUAUUGAUAAAUAACUGGUUUUAGAUAAAUGAUAUGUGGCAACGUUGUCUAACAGUCAUGAUCGCAAUAGAAUUUGAUCACCAAUAAAAAUAAAUUAGUUUUGCAACCGUUUCCUAGGAAAUAAUUCCCAGUGUUGGCACAUCUACACAUUGUGAUUUUUUUGAUGAAUUUUAAUUUUUUGAAUUAAAGAAACUGCUAAAGUCUGACAGAAAAUUUAAAAACAAUUAUUCAUCGUUUUGUUAGGGAACGAUUACCUAGUGUGAAGCAUAAAAAUAAUGAAAACUAAAAAAGUUAACACAACAAGUUUGUAGCUCCAUAUUUUUUAAAAUAUGAUUUUAGGAAUUUUUUCAGCAUUUUUCCCGUAAUCUGCACGUGCUAAUCAAUAACGUACCACUGAGUUGGUGCGCCAGUUUUUGAGCACCUGUAUGUAUAGAAGGUCAGGCGACCCUAGUAUAAAAAGCCAAGUAAAAAAAGCGUAUUUGAUGUUUCAAAACUAUAAAAACGCCAACGUCGCAAUUUCUCUCAAAAUCGCAAACGCUGAUUUUUGUGUUAUUAUUAAAAUGGAUUUUAAACAAUGGCCCGAAUUCUUAUCCCAUUAUUAAAUUUAAUAACGUCUCUAACUUCCAUGGCAACGUUUGCAUCUCUUUCUACAGCAUUAGAUUUACAUAAAUCUAUAUCGUUUUAUGUUUAGUUUAAUAGCGUAUUUAGCUAAUCACAUCCUUAAUGAUGAGAUAAGAAUUCGGGCCAAUUACUUUAGUCAUCACAAAUAACACUUUCUUUCAAUAUUUAUUUCUUUUAAGUCAAUAAAAUUAUCCAGAGAUCUCAAUGCAAUGUCGAAAGGAACUGUAGUAGUAGUGUGUAAAUAGGCGCUACGGUGUAAACAGUUUAUGCCGCGUGACGUCAUCAGGCUCAAAGCGGGACCGCUCUUAAACCGGCAGACAAAAAAGCUUAUAUUUUUGAUAAUUUUAAAGCUAUUGAAUUAAUUUUUUUUGCAUUCAAUUUUUCUUGAUUUGAGUACUAUUAUGUUGAAAAAAAUAAUAACAUUUUGAAAAAUUGGAAACUUCCCCAUCAACCUUUCUCUUGGUUAGAAAACAAUUUUUAUAGGAUUGCGAAGGUUAGAAGCAAAUGUCUAAAAUACAAUUAUGUUAUAAAAAUAUUUUAUUAUUUAACCAAAUGCAAAUGUAUAUAAAAUAGUAUACAUACUUUGGUGGGAAUUUCA
Tribolium castaneum (red flour beetle) is the source of this 3051-nucleotide RNA transcript. RefSeq lists it as uncharacterized. The transcript has 5 exons. The record is from RefSeq and is a predicted model, not a curated record. Lineage: Eukaryota; Metazoa; Arthropoda; Insecta; Coleoptera; Tenebrionidae.